RNAcentral lists this ribosomal RNA (63 nucleotides) under Aspergillus flavus. RNAcentral's name for it is "partial 26S ribosomal RNA". It matches the Rfam family "Eukaryotic large subunit ribosomal RNA", at positions 1 to 62 of the family's 3401-position model. Lineage: Eukaryota; Fungi; Ascomycota; Eurotiomycetes; Eurotiales; Aspergillaceae. RNAcentral also lists the same sequence under 2 other names. The record is from RNAcentral.
UUGACCUCGGAUCAGGUAGGGAUACCCGCUGAACUUAAGCAUAUCAAUAAGCGGAGGAAAAGA